Molecule: transfer RNA, 73 nt
Filed under: Actinia tenebrosa (Australian red waratah sea anemone)
Lineage: Eukaryota; Metazoa; Cnidaria; Anthozoa; Actiniaria; Actiniidae
Also listed under: 1 other name
Description: tRNA-Lys
Rfam family: tRNA
About the family: Transfer RNA (tRNA) molecules are approximately 80 nucleotides in length.
Source: Rfam by way of RNAcentral
GCCUGGUUAGCUCAGUCGGUAGAGAAUCAGACUUUUAAUCUGAGGGUCAAGGGUUCGAGUCCCUUAUCGGGCG